CCUACGGGGGGCAGCAGUGGGGAAUAUUGGACAAUGGGCGAAAGCCUGAUCCAGCCAUGCCGCGUGUGUGAAGAAGGCCUUCGGGUUGUAAAGCACUUUCAGUGGGGAAGAAAGCCUUGGGGCUAAUACCCUCGAGGAAGGACAUCACCCACAGAAGAAGCACCGGCUAACUCCGUGCCAGCAGCCGCGGUAAUACGGAGGGUGCGAGCGUUAAUCGGAAUUACUGGGCGUAAAGCGCGCGCAGGCGGUCUGAUAAGCCGGUUGUGAAAGCCCCGGGCUCAACCUGGGAACGGCAUCCGGAACUGUCAGGCUAGAGUGCAGGAGAGGAAGGUAGAAUUCCCGGUGUAGCGGUGAAAUGCGUAGAGAUCGGGAGGAAUACCAGUGGCGAAGGCGGCCUUCUGGACUGACACUGACGCUGAGGUGCGAAAGCGUGGGUAGCAAACAGGAUUAGAUACCCCUGUAGUC
This 465-nucleotide ribosomal RNA is filed under the name Vreelandella stevensii. RNAcentral's name for it is "partial 16S ribosomal RNA". It matches the Rfam family "Bacterial small subunit ribosomal RNA", at positions 338 to 795 of the family's 1533-position model. Lineage: Bacteria; Pseudomonadati; Pseudomonadota; Gammaproteobacteria; Oceanospirillales; Halomonadaceae. The record is from RNAcentral.